UUUGUUUGCACACCCUCACUGAAACAAAAGAACUAAACCGAGUAACUGACAGAGGAAAUUUAGUGUGGAUAAUUCUGGUGAAUUUUUGAAAAAAUGAUCUCCUCCCUCUGCAUCACCACCAUGGACUAUUCAUUCUCUUACCCCAGCUUUCAACCUGUCACAGAAAGCAUAAUGUCUGUGAUGCAUGAACUGAAGACAAAGAACAUUGCAGACAUGAACCUUCUGUCCAACUUGGACUUUGCUGAGAGAUUCUUUAGAAACCAUCCUCUAAAACUGUACUCAAAAUUAUUAGUCAAAGGAAAUUACUCUUGUGUACAAAUGGGUCGGAAUAACAACAUAGUUGUUACUGUAACUUCAGAAAACAAUCAAACCUAUGUCAAUAUCUGUAUCCAUGAUCAAUUUGAGAAAAAAAUUACAAGUUCUUUCAUUAAGGCCAGGCACUUUUUCAACCACUCCUGCCAGGAUGAGAUUAAAUCCUGUUUUACACAGGCUCAAGAAGCUGUUGCUAAAGAGAAUCUGACAAGAUUACACAUCACAUGCAGCAGGUUCUCAGUAACAUACACCACUCAAUACAGAGGGCCAUGCACAACUGUGGAAACUAAAUGUCAGUUAAAGCUGGAGAACCUCACUGCUGAGGGUUUACUGAACAAAAAAGUCUGGCUGCAGAAAGAGAAGCCCACAUGUCAUGGUUUGAUAGCAUGUCUAGACCAUCUCAUAAAGCAAUACCUGACCAAAAGCAGUUCUUUAAUUUACUCCUAUAGGUUUAUCAUACAUGCAGACAAAGAAAUAAUCACAAUCACUUCAGGUGAAGAAAAAGAAACAGAAUGUGUUUUGAUGCAUGAUCAUGAAGGGGUCUCCAUGUUUCCUUCAACAUUGCUAUAAAAGUAAUGACAGCACUCCACUGCAACAUAUUCUGCUGAAAUAUCUUCACAUGUAUUUUAAAGACCUGAUUAAAUUAAAUCAUUACAUCAUCUUAUACUUAAUCACAUGUAUUCGUUACUAAUUAUAAAUUAGUUGAAAAUAUUUGCUUUCAAAAAAAUUAAAUCAUACAACGGCAUUACCUUUGGAGUACAAUACAACACACAGUAUGUAGUUCUUUGUUUGUUUGUUUUUGUGGCAAGCAAAUGUUUUUAUAGAUUCACAUUUGCACGUUUUCCUACUUCUGUGUUCACUGACAAAAAUUUAGCAGAUUCUGUCAUUCACUACUCAGAUUAUUGUUGACAUUCUUAACUAUCAUAAAAAUAGACUAUAUGUAAAUAAACAACUUUUUUAUUUGUAGUUCUUUACCCUGCAUGUAUUUUGCCUAGGAUUUUAUUAGUUAAAGUGAUAUUAUGGUGUCAAUGUAAAAAAAAAAUUAAGCA
Long non-coding RNA from Carassius carassius (crucian carp), 1361 nucleotides. RefSeq lists it as uncharacterized. The transcript has 3 exons. Lineage: Eukaryota; Metazoa; Chordata; Actinopteri; Cypriniformes; Cyprinidae. The record is from RefSeq and is a predicted model, not a curated record.